This 407-nucleotide ribosomal RNA is filed under the name uncultured bacterium. Its description in RNAcentral is "partial 16S ribosomal RNA". It matches the Rfam family "Bacterial small subunit ribosomal RNA", at positions 30 to 526 of the family's 1533-position model. The record is from RNAcentral.
AUUGAACGCUAGCGGGAUGCCUUACACAUGCAAGUCGAACGGAGUGGCGAACGGGUGAGUAAUGUAUCGGAACGUGCCCAGUAGCGGGGGAUAACUACGCGAAAGCGUAGCUAAUACCGCAUACUAUUGGAGCGGCCGAUAUCGGAUUGGCUAGGGGGUGGGGUAACGGCUCACCAAGGCGACGACCCGUAGCUGGUUUGAGAGGACGACCAGCCACACUUGGACUGAGAAACGGCCCAGACGCCUACGGGAGGCAGCAGUGGGGAAUUUUGCACAAUGGGGGAAACCCUGAUCCAGCCAUCCCGCGUGUGUGAAGAAGGCCUUCGGGUUGUAAAGCACUUUCAGCGAGGAGGCGUUACUCGCAGAAGAAGCACCGGCUAACUCCGUGCCAGCAGCCGCGGUAAUUC